CUAGUGUAGUUUCGGCGACCUACAUGUUCACACGUGUUAUAAAAAAAAUCUAUAAAAUAAUUUAAUGUUUUGUGAGUUUUAUCGCGUGUUUGAAAAUACCAAAGAUUUGUUAUUCGUCAAAGGUGACGGAGUUCCACAGAGGUAAAAAAUAGGCAAAAAGAGCAUUUUUCGUUUAGUAUCUUCAUACAAAAUUCUACACUAGAAAAUAAUAAUUAAAUUAUAAUUAAUUAAGUAUAUCUAAGCCGUCUCUCUUUUAAUUAAACUUAUUAACUGCU
Long non-coding RNA from Leguminivora glycinivorella, 275 nucleotides. RefSeq lists it as uncharacterized. The transcript is spliced from 2 exons. The record is from RefSeq and is a predicted model, not a curated record. NCBI's taxonomy places the organism in Eukaryota, Metazoa, Arthropoda, Insecta, Lepidoptera, Tortricidae.